RNAcentral lists this transfer RNA (67 nucleotides) under Marmota monax (woodchuck). RNAcentral's name for it is "tRNA.Ala". The record is from RNAcentral. Lineage: Eukaryota; Metazoa; Chordata; Mammalia; Rodentia; Sciuridae.
GGUUGUGGCUCAGUGGUAGAGCUCUUGCCUGGCACAUGUGAGGCACUGGGUUCGAUCCUCAGCACCA